This 253-nucleotide ribosomal RNA is filed under the name uncultured bacterium. RNAcentral describes it as "partial 16S ribosomal RNA". It matches the Rfam family "Bacterial small subunit ribosomal RNA", at positions 524 to 776 of the family's 1533-position model. The record is from RNAcentral.
UACGUAGGCAGCGAGCGUUGUUCGGAGUUACUGGGCGUAAAGAGCGCGUAGGCGGUUUUCUAAGUUUGGUGUGAAAUCUCCCGGCUUAACUGGGAGGGUGCGCCGAAGACUGGAAGGCUUGAGUAUGGGAGAGGUAAGCGGAAUUCCUGGUGUAGCGGUGAAAUGCGUAGAUAUCAGGAGGAACACCUGCGGUGUAGACGGCUUACUGGACCAUAACUGACGCUGAGGCACGAAAGCGUGGGUAGCAAACAGG